CUCCCCGAAAACUAUUUAGGUAGUGCCUCGAGCAAGACACUGAUGGGGGUAAAGCACUGUUAUGGCUAGGGGGUUAUUGCAACUUACCAACCCAUGGCAAACUCAGAAUACCAUCAAGUGGUUCCUCGGGAGACAGACAGCGGGUGCUAACGUCCGUUGUCAAGAGGGAAACAACCCAGACCGCCAGCUAAGGUCCCCAAUGAUAGAUUAAGUGGUAAACGAAGUGGGAAGGCCCAGACAGCCAGGAUGUUGGCUUAGAAGCAGCCAUCAUUUAAAGAAAGCGUAAUAGCUCACUGGUCGAGUCGUCCUGCGCGGAAGAUGUAACGGGGCUCAAAUCUAUAACCGAAGCUGCGGAUGCCGGUUUACCGGCAUGGUAGGGGAGCGUUCUGUAGGCCGAUGAAGGUGCAUUGUAAAGUGUGCUGGAGGUAUCAGAAGUGCGAAUGUUGACAUGAGUAGCGAUAAAGCGGGUGAAAAGCCCGCUCGCCGAAAGCCCAAGGUUUCCUGCGCAACGUUCAUCGGCGUAGGGUGAGUCGGCCCCUAAGGCGAGGCAGAAAUGCGUAGUCGAUGGGAAACAGGUUAAUAUUCCUGUACUUG
RNAcentral lists this ribosomal RNA (594 nucleotides) under Haemophilus influenzae. RNAcentral describes it as "partial 23S ribosomal RNA". It matches the Rfam family "Bacterial large subunit ribosomal RNA", at positions 855 to 1447 of the family's 2925-position model. Lineage: Bacteria; Pseudomonadati; Pseudomonadota; Gammaproteobacteria; Pasteurellales; Pasteurellaceae. The record is from RNAcentral.